GAUGAACGCUGGCGGCGUGCCUAACACAUGCAAGUCGAACGGAGAUUUAACGCUGAUGAGGCUUCGGCGGAAUCUUGUUAAAUCUUAGUGGCGGACGGGUGAGUAACGCGUGGGCAACCUGCCUCGUACUGGGGGAUAACAGUUGGAAACGACUGUUAAUACCGCAUAAGCGCACGGUAUCGCAUGAUACAGUGUGAAAAACUCCGGUGGUACGAGAUGGGCCCGCGUCAGAUUAGCCAGUUGGCGGGGUAACGGCCCACCAAAGCGACGAUCUGUAGCCGGACUGAGAGGUCGGACGGCCACAUUGGGACUGAGACACGGCCCAAACUCCUACGGGAGGCAGCAGUGGGGGAUAUUGCACAAUGGGCGAAAGCCUGAUGCAGCGACGCCGCGUGAGUGAAGAAGUAUUUCGGUAUGUAAAGCUCUAUCAGCAGGGAAGAAAG
RNAcentral lists this ribosomal RNA (443 nucleotides) under bacterium MB2005. Its description in RNAcentral is "bacterial SSU rRNA". It matches the Rfam family "Bacterial small subunit ribosomal RNA", at positions 28 to 451 of the family's 1533-position model. The record is from RNAcentral.